GAGGAAUCCACCAUGGCGGACAUGCAGACGCGGAACACGGCGUGCGUGCGCAGCAUGAGGAACUCUUCCUUCUCCACCACCUUCCCUUUGAACCCUCCUCGAGGCGCUCUGCCCUCCAGGUAAAGAGCACAUUUUCCGAGCUGCUCGGCGUCCUCCGCCUCCAAAGACUCCCGGAUGACGCCGAAGUUGGCGCACCGGAGAGCCCAUCUCUUCUCACAGAACUUGGCGACCGCGACAGCUGUCAUCAAGGCUGCACCCAGCGAGAAGAGGAUCCCACCGCCGGCGAUAUGGUUGUAGAUGACGUACCCUGCUCCCAGCACCUGCACCACGAGAGUCAGCAGGUGGCGCUUCCACAGCUUGUUGUCCUCGAGGGAGUAGGCCGUGAUGUUGUCAGGGCCAGCGAGGUGCAGCAGCAGGAAGGGCGCCCAGAAGGCGACCAGCCGGUGCUGCCGCAGGGUGCUAAUGAGGGAGAGGGUGCCGAGGGCGUAAAUGGCGGUGCUGUCCGCCAACUGGUAUGCCAGCCAGAGGAAGAGCCUCUUGAGGCUGCGGCCUUGCUGCCGGCGGAUCCCGGAGAAGAAGAGGAGGGCCACCUGCUGCGUGAGGCUCAGGAUUACGAGGAUCUCCGUUGCCCAUGCGUUCCAGAAGUCCAGCAGCCGUCCGGCGGCGACUCUUGGCUCCACCACUGGUUUGAUCCAUCAAGUAAGCCAUGCAUCAAAUAAAUAGAGCAACGUCUCAAAUAAACUGUUGACUAGAAUUAACAAUGCAUACACUAUAUACGUACAGCGGGUAUCCCCUAGUUGAUGAGGACCGAAAUUAGCCAUGCAUGUACCCGGCGGCAGUGGCAGCAGAAACAGAAACGAAGAUCACCCAGGCUGGAUCGCUGCUUGCUUACAGCAACUGUUAAGCCAACUAAUCGAGCACAUAUAUACAACAACAACAAUCAGAAGCAUGUGACGGCGAGAUGUGGAUGCACAGAGUACAAAUACAUGCUAUGCUGUCACACCAAACCGUAUAAUGAACAUGGAGAAAUUAAGUAUUAGCGUUUUGUUGAUGCUUGGCCGUCAGUGCACAUGGUCCAUUGAAUUUGCUAACCAUAUGAUAUUCAUCCACCAAUAAAAAAGUGCUCUGUAC
RNAcentral lists this unclassified non-coding RNA (1131 nucleotides) under Zea mays. Its description in RNAcentral is "misc RNA Zm00001eb088620". The record is from RNAcentral. Lineage: Eukaryota; Viridiplantae; Streptophyta; Magnoliopsida; Poales; Poaceae.